Molecule: long non-coding RNA, 211 nt
Organism: Solanum dulcamara
Lineage: Eukaryota; Viridiplantae; Streptophyta; Magnoliopsida; Solanales; Solanaceae
Exons: 3
Source: RefSeq, a predicted model, not a curated record
CCAAGAUUGGUUGUUAAGAAAGUUUUGGUUAGAGCUCAAAAUGAAGGGGAUGGUGCUGUUGUUAGAAGAAGCAUUGUAAGUUUUACCACCUGCUGGAUUUUUUGACCAUCCACACAGAGGAUUUGAGACUGUCACUUACAUGUUGAAGGGAGCAUUUACUCAUCAAGAUUUUGCUGGUCACAAGGGUACAAUCAGAACAGGUGAUGUUCAG